This 582-nucleotide ribosomal RNA is filed under the name uncultured bacterium. RNAcentral's name for it is "bacterial SSU rRNA". It matches the Rfam family "Bacterial small subunit ribosomal RNA", at positions 56 to 683 of the family's 1533-position model. The record is from RNAcentral.
UGCAGUCGAGCGCACUUCGGGUGAGCGGCGGACGGGUGAGUAACGCGUGGGAAUGUGCCCUUUGGUACGGAACAACUGAGGGAAACUUCAGCUAAUACCGUAUGUGCCCUUCGGGGGAAAGAUUUAUUGCCAUUGGAGCAGCCCGCGUUGGAUUAGCUAGUUGGUGGGGUAAAGGCCCACCAAGGCGACGAUCCAUAGCUGGUCUGAGAGGAUGAUCAGCCACACUGGGACUGAGACACGGCCCAGACUCCUACGGGAGGCAGCAGUAGGGAAUCUUGCGCAAUGGGCGAAAGCCUGACGCAGCCAUGCCGCGUGAAUGACUGAAGGUCUUAGGAUUGUAAAAUUCUUUCACCGGGGAAGAUAAUGACGGUACCCGGAGAAGAAGCCCCGGCUAACUUCGUGCCAGCAGCCGCGGUAAUACGAAGGGGGCUAGCGUUGCUCGGAAUUACUGGGCGUAACAGGGCGCGUAGGCGGACAGUUAGUCAGAAGGUGAAAAGCCCAGGACUCAACCUUGGAAAUUGCCUUUGAUACUUGGCUGUCUUGAGUACGGGAGAGGUGAGUGGAAUGCCGAGUGUAAAGGUG